GCACCUUGGCAUGAUAGCAAAGCAGACCCAGGCCUCCUCCCUGUACCUGAGUUCUGAAGCCUGGCCCCAGAUGUUUGCUCACUGAAGGCUGCUCGAACCCCGACACUAGUAAGAAAGGGAAUUUUCUUCGCUCCAGGCUUACCGAGUUGGGUGGGGAAUCCCUUUUAGGGUAGUGGUGUGAGCUAAGGCAAAGAUCCUUAGAACUUGGAACCUAGAGGUGCAGAGGCAGCCCCACCUCAGACUUGGCUCAGUCUCUCGCCCGCCCGUUAAAAUGAGGAUCACCCUAUGGCUCACGUAAGGCAAGAGGCCGCUGAGUCGGUAAAUCAGGGAGCCCACCCACUAGAAGUAAGUGCUAAAACGCUCGGCCCCGCGACGUUUAUCCGAGGAGAACGUCCCCAUUGUGUGCGGGGCGAAGGAGGCCCCGACACUUCCCUCAGAGUCAAGAGAAGUCUGUUUGGAUUGGCUGAAAGGCUUGCUCAUGCCCUCUGAAUCCGGUCCAAAACGAGCCAGCUAGUCGGAGCCGGUAAAGGCGAUCGAUAAGGGAGUGCCGAGGCUCUCUCCUCCCCCACAGAGGAAGGAAGGGGCGGAAGAGCCCCGGGCUUCAGCCUCAGGCGCCUCUUCACCACUAAUCCCAUCUCCACUCCCUUAGUCUGGGAGAGGAGGUUGGGAGCCUUUAGACUUUCCCCUCCCCGGACUGGGCUGACGGAGAUCCCAAACUCGCAAAUACCCGGGGGAGCAGUUUGAGAACGCCAGCAAAAGGGGCUCGAGUCCACUCUGUUCUUGGGAGAAUAUUGCAUGGGGGAGCGUUCACAGGCUCGAGAGGCUUUUAAAAAAUCGGUUAUGAAGACAUCAUGAAAUGCUGCUUUCUUUUAUUUUUUUAUUUGAAGAAUUUUAAUGAAUUAAUUUAGACUAUUUCCCCUGGUUACAUGAUUCAUGUUCUCCCCCUCCCCCCUUCCCGUAGCCAACGGGCAAUUCCACUGGAACCCAGAUCUUCAGGAUUCUGAAUUCAGCUCUGCACUCUCUCGCCCUCUUACUGACUACGGAGUACAAUUCAAAUUCCUCCACUUUGAGGAGCUCGACAUUUUCAACCUUAUUUCAUACUCUACCCUCUGGGCUCCAGUCCACAGUAGUUAUCAUCUCCAAUCCCCGAAGCAAGCCCUGCCUUUCCCUGCCCCCCCCCGCCCCCUCCCCCCCUUGUGUGUGUGUGUGGGGGGAGGGGUCUUUGAGCUACUCCUUUUUGGGGGUGGGAUGCAGAUCUGGCUGGACUCUCCUGCCCUUGGUCAGACAGGGAGUAAGUAAGCAAGAGAAUCAUCAGACUCCAAAUCCAAGCAUCCUCCCACUAAACCACAUGUCUACGUCUCCAUUUGCCCUUCGCUUGCCUCAGUUCUCACUUGAAACAUGAGUUGACUACCAUGGGGGGAGUAUUUUAAAGUGCUUGAUAAAAGGCAUAAAUAAGGUCCUAAAACCACAGAACUGGGAAUUUGGGGACAACCUCAGAGAUCAAUUAGUCUGAGUCAGCUUUAUGUUAGAUAUAAGGAAAUUGGGACCUGGAGAAGGAAAAUGACUGAUCCAGGGCCAUACAGUGAGUGAACAUAAAAGCUGGUCCUAGAACCUAGCUUAUCUCACAGGGGCUGUCGAGAGGCUCUUAGGAUAUAAUGAAUAGAAAGUACUUUGGAUGAUCGAGAUAAGCUAUGAUGAGGAUGAUUCUCUAAUAGUAUUUUAAUAUUACCAUUAUUAUAGUAUUGAUCAUGACUAGCUCAAAGGGAUCUCAGUUAUUUAGUUCAACCUCCUCUUUUUUGUAGGGGAGGCCCAGGCAAGUUAAGUUACUUGUCCAAGGUCACUCAGCAAAGUGGUGGGAAGAAACCUUCUGUGCGUCCCCAUCCAGCCCUCCAUCUUCGCCUCCUAGCCCCACCUCCAGAUUUAAAGCUAGAAGGGACUGAAUGCAGCCCCCUAUUUUAUAGAGGAGGAGACUGAGGCCCAGAGAGAGGAAAUGACUUAUCCAAGGCCACACAGAAAUCAGAGGUAGAGAGCUAGAAGGGCCCUCCAAGGCUACCUAAUUCAUCUCUCCCAUUUUCUGGGCAAGGAAGCUGAAUCAUGUUUUGUUUCCACUGGAUCUCUUGAAGGGAUUUCUUUCCUGUAUCUGUGGAAGCCCGGGAACUUCUUGGGGAUGGGGAGUGGGGUGGGACAUCUCUCUGCUGCCUCCUGCCUCAUCUGUCUUUGUUUCAUGGUGUCUGGGAAGCUGACUCCCCCACACGGGCUUGUCAAGAGGACUAGCUUGCCAGCUAGCAGGGAGACAGUG
RNAcentral lists this long non-coding RNA (2299 nucleotides) under Monodelphis domestica (gray short-tailed opossum). RNAcentral's name for it is "lncRNA (ENSMODG00000039700.1)". The record is from RNAcentral. Lineage: Eukaryota; Metazoa; Chordata; Mammalia; Didelphimorphia; Didelphidae.